UCACUUCUUCCUACUUCUCCUUUUCUCCUCUCUUCAUUUUUUUGAGUUGAUCACUUCAAUGGAGGGUUAAUUUCGAAUUCAAUUCAAGGAUUCUAAGGAUUAUGGUAAAUUUAAGUUCCUUUUUCUUAAUUGAGAAUCUAUAUUUUUUUUUCUGUUUUCAGUUUCUAAAGUUCAAUUCUUGAUUAUGAUUAGGUUUUGGAAAUUGAUUGAGGAUUAGGAUUGAUGAAUCCAAUUGUGAGAUUAGGUGAUCGAUUGGUUGGUUGCCUAUGCCAAUAUGUUUUUGUGCCUGAAUUCAUGUUAAUUAGGAAAUACCAUGGUGUUUUCAGUUUUCA
This 332-nucleotide long non-coding RNA is filed under the name Glycine max (soybean). RNAcentral's name for it is "long non-coding RNA (GMAX_LNC000281)". The record is from RNAcentral. Lineage: Eukaryota; Viridiplantae; Streptophyta; Magnoliopsida; Fabales; Fabaceae.